GGAGAGGUGGCCGAGUGGUUUAAGGCGGCGGUCUCGAAAACCGCUGUGGGGGCAACUCCACCGGGGGUUCGAAUCCCCCCCUCUCCGCCA
This 90-nucleotide transfer RNA is filed under the name Nitrospirota bacterium. RNAcentral's name for it is "tRNA-Ser". It matches the Rfam family "tRNA". From Rfam's summary of the family: Transfer RNA (tRNA) molecules are approximately 80 nucleotides in length. Their secondary structure includes four short double-helical elements and three loops (D, anti-codon, and T loops). Lineage: Bacteria; Pseudomonadati; Nitrospirota. RNAcentral also lists the same sequence under 1 other name. The record is from RNAcentral.